GGCGACCGGCGCACGGGUGCGUAACGCGUAUGUAAUCUACCUACAACAGGGGGAUAGCCCAGAGAAAUUUGGAUUAAUACCGCAUAGUACAUUUGAUAUGGCAUCAUAUUAAUGUUAAAGAUUUAUCGGUUGUAGAUGAGCAUGCGUAAGAUUAGCUAGUUGGUAAGGUAAUGGCUUACCAAGGCGACGAUCUUUAGCGGGUCUGAGAGGAUGAUCCGCCACACUGGUACUGAGAUACGGACCAGACUCC
Molecule: ribosomal RNA, 250 nt
Filed under: uncultured bacterium
Lineage: Bacteria
Description: partial 16S ribosomal RNA
Rfam family: Bacterial small subunit ribosomal RNA
Source: RNAcentral